CAUGUAUAAUCGCAAACCGUUUGAAAAAACGGGACGCAAAGCCAGGAAUCUAACGCCCGCAAGGGCUAUGGUCGUCCGGCCGCCGUG
Molecule: non-coding RNA, 87 nt
Filed under: Paenibacillus sp. NFR01
Lineage: Bacteria; Bacillati; Bacillota; Bacilli; Caryophanales; Paenibacillaceae
Description: c-di-GMP-I riboswitch aptamer
Rfam family: c-di-GMP-I riboswitch aptamer
About the family: GEMM was predicted in a large-scale screen for bacterial structured RNA regulatory elements.
Source: Rfam by way of RNAcentral